AACAAAUAUAUAUAUUUUACAAUUAUAGUUGUUUGCAGGUGAGUCUAAAUAAUUUCCUUGUGUUAUGUUUCAGAAAACUCGACUCAAGUUUACUUUUUUGAGCUUGAAAUAGAGUCAACAGUAUAUCAUGAAUCGAACCUCACAAAGUUGUCACCUUUAAAUUUUGGAGAUUGGACUGUCUCGCACAUUACCGUUACAGCAGAUUGUACAGUGGAUGAAAAAAGCAACAGCACACAAAAAAACUGUUCAUGCACGAAUGAACACAGAUGGAGUUCAGAUAUUUGCGACACACACAAAUGCUGCAAAAAUGAGAACUGCACACUUAAUGUCAUAGAUGAUGCCAUGUGCCUGCCUAUUAAUACAGUGAUUAUCAAUGGGUCGACAACCUUUCCAAAUCGUAAUUAUGGUGAUUUAUAUGAUCAAAACAACAAACAAACUGAUACGUACGAUGAGAUAAGUAAGAAUAUAACCAAUGAGCUCAAAAGUAAUUUCAGCAGACUGCCGUGGUUCGAUUCGCUGGUUAUCACAGGAUUCAGAAAAGGCAGUCUGAUUGUGGAUUAUACGCUGCAAGUGCUUAGUUCCUUUAACCUCACUCAACUUCAAAAUAUAACUGGCAACCUACCAUCAACAACGCUACUAACAAAAGG
Long non-coding RNA from Paramisgurnus dabryanus, 647 nucleotides. RefSeq lists it as uncharacterized. NCBI's taxonomy places the organism in Eukaryota, Metazoa, Chordata, Actinopteri, Cypriniformes, Cobitidae. The record is from RefSeq and is a predicted model, not a curated record.